UUUUGGACAAUGGGCGAAAGCCUGAUCCAGCAAUGCCGCGUGAGUGAAGAAGGCCUUCGGGUUGUAAAGCUCUUUUGUCAGGGAAGAAACGGUGAGAGCUAAUAUCUCUUGCUAAUGACGGUACCUGAAGAAUAAGCACCGGCUAACUACGUGCCAGCAGCCGCGGUAAUACGUAGGGUGCAAGCGUUAAUCGGAAUUACUGGGCGUAAAGCGUGCGCAGGCGGUUUUGUAAGUUUGUCGUGAAAGCCCCGGGCUCAACCUGGGAAUUGCGAUGAAGACUGCAAGGCUUGAAUCUGGCAGAGGGGGGUAGAAUUCCACGUGUAGCAGUGAAAUGCGUAGAGAUGUGGAGGAACACCGAUGGCGAAGGCAGCCCCCUGGGUCAAGAUUGACGCUCAUGCACGAAAGCGUGGGGAGCAAACA
RNAcentral lists this ribosomal RNA (420 nucleotides) under uncultured bacterium. RNAcentral describes it as "bacterial SSU rRNA". It matches the Rfam family "Bacterial small subunit ribosomal RNA", at positions 362 to 774 of the family's 1533-position model. The record is from RNAcentral.